AACGUUGGCGGCGUGCUUAAUACAUGCAAGUCAACUGAAGCACCGGUAGUAAUACUGGUGUGGAGGUGGCGCACGGGUGAGUAACACGUAGGUAAUCUGCCUUCAGGUCUGACAUAACCCCGAGAAAUCGGGGCUAAUAGCAGAUGAUGCAGCGGCUUGACAUCAAGACAGUUGUUAAAGCUUCGGCGCCUGAAGAUGAGCCUGCGUCUGAUUAGCUAGUUGGCGGAGUAAUAGCCCACCAAGGCGACGAUCAGUAGCUGGGUCUGAGAGGAUGAUCAGCCACACUGGAACUGAGACACGGUCCAGACUCCUACGGGAGGCAGCAGUAAGGAAUAUUGCUCAAUGGGAGAAAUCCUGAAGCAGCAACGCCGCGUGAGGGAUGAAGGGCUUUUGCUCGUAAACCUCUGUAGUGAGGGAAAAAUUUCCAUUCUAUGGAAUAUGAUGGUACCUCAAAAGUAAGCCCCGGCUAACUACGUG
RNAcentral lists this ribosomal RNA (477 nucleotides) under uncultured bacterium. RNAcentral's name for it is "bacterial SSU rRNA". It matches the Rfam family "Bacterial small subunit ribosomal RNA", at positions 32 to 507 of the family's 1533-position model. The record is from RNAcentral.